GCUUAUUUUAUCCAGGAGUUCUAGGUAAGACCACUUUUUCAAAUAUCCUCUGAACGUUGACUUAGGUGCACACACCUGUGCUUCCAUUGGCAACAAAAGCUUUGAAUGCACAGGACUUCCACGGCAUGAAAUGCAUUUACAUACAUUACAUAAGAGAGAAGCAAUGAGCAAGUCUGUUGCUGGGAGAGGCUCACAUCCUUCUCACCAAAUCAAUCUGUAACUUUCAAAUAGCUCUGCUGUAUUUCCUAGCAACAGGAGUAAACACUGUACUACAUCCAGUGCCCAAGAUUUGUAACCACGUUAAUCUGUUAGAAGCCUAGAUGUGUGACUGGAGAUGCCUCCUGUCCAUUCAAUCUGACUCCAAUGUGGUUCUGCAGCACUGGACAAAGAUGGGAGAUUGAAACAGGAGCCCCUGCGAUGGGGGAACAGAGCCAGGGAGCAGGGGUUGGACAGAACCCAGGUUUGAGAAAACAACCUUGUGAACCUUCUAUUGGAGCAGCAAUAAAGAUCUGAGCUAAGUGUCGAGGGAGGCUGAGGAGGUGGUCACUAAGUCUGUCUUAGGCAUCCCAGGGUCUCCUCAGAGUCCAAGCCUGAAGUCCACUGCAGGGGUCACCAGCCACCUGUGGCCACAUUGGAAUGUGGCCAUUCUGAAUUGAGGUAAGUAAAAAACAUACACCAAAUUUCAAAGAUGUAAUAUGGGAAAAAAAGAAUGUAAGGUACUUGGUUAAUGAUUUUUUAUAUGGAUUACAUAUGGAAAUGCUACCAUUUUGGCUAUAUUGGGUAAGAUAUAUUAUUAAAAUUGAUGUCACCUGUUCCCUUUUACUUUUUUAAGCGCGCCUGCUAUAAAAUAUGAAAUUGCCUGCAUGGCUCCCAUUCAUGGAUCCUAUUACAUUUCUAUCUGCCAGUGUAGGUUGGUGCAGUCACAAGACAAUGCUUCAGGAGAAAAUCUGGGGAGGCGGUCUCAGGGCAAGAGGGUGAGUGGGGGAAAUGCCUAUGGAAUGAGAAAGAGACAACAGGGGGACCGACCCAUCAAGGGCUACAAAGAAGGUGAAUUUGCUUUCUGAGUUGUGCUUGCCUGCCGGACUCAUUUGCAGCAAGAGAGACCAGAAUAUAAAGGCCACGAUAAUAACAUCUCAAAUAAAUUAGAAGCAGCUUGUGGUUUAUAGUGAGCAAUGCUCUACUGGGGACCAGACCAAGCAGUUACCCCUGUCUUCACUCCAUCUGUGGUUAAGUCAUUUGGUCACUGUUGCCUUCUCAUCUGCAAAGCGGGGACUGAGAUUAACUGCUUGGCCUGCAUAUCCCCCUGACUCUGUCAACUAAGUUUUCGGAAACCUGAAGCACUCUAAACAUCCUGGGGGAAGAAAGGGCUGGAGAAACAUACAAUGUUUUGUGAUCAGAGUUUUUAAGCUGAAAAGAAUGAAGAAACUUGAAUAGAAUAAAUUCUUGAUACUUCCUUUUUCAUAACACUUACCACGCUUUAUUUCGAUUAUUUAUUAGCCCCCUUCCUAGCUAGAUAUAAGCUAGCUAUAAAUACCAUGAGCUCAGGACCCACAUCUGUCUGCUCACUGCUGUGACCGCAACUUAGAGGACAGAGCCCAGAAUACAGGCCUCAAUAAAUACUGUGGAAGAGGGGUCACAUGGAGAAUUUGCAGUCAUUUUUGCUGUUGAGCAUCUGUUAAGUUAAAGUUUCCAAGUGUGCAAACUGUACUCGGAAAUGAGUAAGAAGUAGAAACUUACCUAGAGAUGAUCAAACCAGUAGUGCUGUCACUCUAAUGAUGUUAUCUGUCCCACUGUGAAAACAUUGUCACAGGUGAAGGAGGAGAGUGAGGUGAGACCUUCCCAGCCCUUGACUGCUCUUGCACUGGACACAUUCCAGGAAGCUCUUGUGGCAGAAGCAGCCACUUAACUUACUUUUAACAAGAGAAGCUGAAGGCUGAGGGAAGUCAGGACCAACAGAGGAUCCAAAUUUCAGUGGCACAAGUCUUAAGCUUCAUUUGGUUGCAUGAAUGAGUGCGGAAGCAGCAUGAAGUAGUGGUGAUACAAACCUGGGUUCUGUGUUUAAUUCUAUUCUCAGUACUUUCCCAGUGGGAGACUGUGAGUUCCCUCUCUGAACCUCGUUCUCCUCCAUGGCUUAAAACUGGACUCAUAAUGCAUGGCUUAGCUAUAAUGUACCUUUCAAAAAGGGCUGGCAUCCGGUAAACACUGAAUAAAUGGUUACAUGUCAAACACAGUAAACAUUCAACAAUGGCUAAUAUCUUCCUUCUGCAUCAGCUUUUAAAACAGAUUUUUUAACCUGGAGUCCAAGGAGUCCCAGGAAAUCCACAGACGAGAUUCAAUGGAUCCUUGAAAUCCCUAAAAUUAAAUACAAAGCGGGGUAUGUGUGGACAUCUUUUCUCUUCAAGGAAAGAAUCCAUAGCUUUCAUAUGAUGCUCUUAAGACUCUCAGACUGAAAACAGUUUAAGAACUAUUGAGUUUCUGUGGCUUCCAAAGUGUUUAGCUCCUUCUAUUUAUCUAUGGAAUAGCUCUGUGAAUGACUCUCAAAACCAAGCUUUUCUGUGCCUCCUCAAGAGGCCUGCAUUUUAUAUGCAGCAGUACAACUUCCUUCCAUAAGACGCUUUUAUUUUCUGGCAGCAGCAGUAUCACAGGAAGAUGACUGGAAUUUAUAAGUAAGAAACUGAUCUUAAUUUCAACAAUAGUACUGGAGCCCUUACCUCUUUAAAUACACCUUUUUCCAUAGUUUUUUUUUUUAUAGGAUUGAUGACCAAAGAAGGCAGCUAUAAUGUUUUAUUCUCAAGAUGAUGGUUACUCAUCUUAGAAUAAAAACAACAACAACAAAAAAUAACAGAUGAAUGGGAAGAGCCCAAUCAAAGCUUUAUUCUACUCCUCAACAACUCAGGAGUUAAGCCUAAAGCUGCAGAUGAAAAUUUUGCCACCAUGAAGAAAAGAAGAAAUCAGAAUUGGAUUCUUUCUGAACUUUUCCUUUACAGUAGCCAGUAUAUGCCCUUUCCUACUUGAGCAAGUAUAAACUGGGUUUCUGUGAUUUGCAACCAAGUGUCCUGACAAACACAAGGAUGAAAGACAACUGUGUCUCAAUAAAGGAAAAAUAGUUUAUUUUUAUGAGUGGUGGAUUUAAAAAACCUACAUUACUGUGACAAGAGUACCUUAAAACAUUUAAGUCUACAAAAGGCACUUAGGGACUUUAUAGCAAACUCUACACUUAUAAUGAAAAGCCAGACCAGAUCAUUUUAAAAAAACGUUACUGCACGAGAUAAUGGCACAUCCACUCGUUCAAUUAACAUUUAUUGAGUGUCUUCAGGGGUUUUAGACUUGUGCAAUAAAAAUGAUAAAAACGUAUUCUUUGGUUUGAGCUGGUCCAUCCAAGGUCGUUCCAUAAAGAGCAGCUGUGUAUGCUGUUCAGACUAAUUGUGUGAAGCUGGAGAGGCCAGGUGUUUCUGUCUGGCCCAGCAGCUGCACUUUGCGGUAAGGGCACCACCUGAAUUUCAGUCUGGCCAUAAAAUGAGGCUGAAGAAACAGCACCUUGCAUGAGCUUUUAGGUGAAAGGCAGAACAG
RNAcentral lists this long non-coding RNA (3570 nucleotides) under Homo sapiens (human). RNAcentral describes it as "HSALNT0093600". The record is from RNAcentral. Lineage: Eukaryota; Metazoa; Chordata; Mammalia; Primates; Hominidae.